Molecule: unclassified non-coding RNA, 340 nt
Filed under: Borrelia persica
Lineage: Bacteria; Pseudomonadati; Spirochaetota; Spirochaetia; Spirochaetales; Borreliaceae
Description: partial 16S-23S intergenic spacer
Source: RNAcentral
CUUCGCAAGCCGGGGGACAAGGGUUCGAGUCCCUUAUCCACCAUUUGUUUUUAGGACGAAUAAAUGGAGGUUUUGCUUUUUAGUAUUGCUACGUGAGUUGUAUUCGAUUUUAAAACUGUAGUAAAAUCCAUUAAAUUUAUUAUAGUCUUUAUCCUAGAAUAAAUUGUUUUUUAUAAUUUUUGUAUAUUAUUCAUUUUUAUUUGUGUUCUUUAAGUAAGUUCGUGAUUUUAAAUAUGCGUGUUAGUGCUUUGCUUUAACAAGCAUUGAGCUUGAGCUUUGUCUUUAAAAUAUUGCAUUAUUGUUAGAUGGACCUUUAUCGAUUUUCAUGCAUUGGGCCAGG